Molecule: transfer RNA, 73 nt
Filed under: Pseudomonadota bacterium
Lineage: Bacteria; Pseudomonadati; Pseudomonadota
Also listed under: 1 other name
Description: tRNA-Phe
Rfam family: tRNA
About the family: Transfer RNA (tRNA) molecules are approximately 80 nucleotides in length. Their secondary structure includes four short double-helical elements and three loops (D, anti-codon, and T loops).
Source: RNAcentral
GCCGAGGUAGCUCAGUUGGUAGAGCGCAGGACUGAAAAUCCUGGCGUCCGCGGUUCGAUUCCGCGCCUCGGCA